GAUGGUGGUUAUUGCAGCGGGGCCACACCUGUUCCCAUCCCGAACACAGAAGUUAAGUCCGCUUGCGCCGAUGGUACUGCAUGGGCAACUGUGUGGGAGAGUAGGACGCCGCCAUCG
RNAcentral lists this ribosomal RNA (117 nucleotides) under Candidatus Cloacimonadota bacterium. Lineage: Bacteria; Pseudomonadati; Candidatus Cloacimonadota. RNAcentral also lists the same sequence under 1 other name. The record is from RNAcentral.